RNAcentral lists this ribosomal RNA (587 nucleotides) under uncultured bacterium. RNAcentral's name for it is "bacterial SSU rRNA". It matches the Rfam family "Bacterial small subunit ribosomal RNA", at positions 338 to 916 of the family's 1533-position model. The record is from RNAcentral.
CCUACGGGAGGCAGCAGUGAGGAAUUUUGCGCAAUGGGGGAAACCCUGACGCAGCAACGCCGCGUGGGUGAAGAAGGCUUUCGGGUCGUAAAGCCCUGUCAGGUGGGAAGAAACUCUUCAGUACUAAUAAUGCUGAAGUCUGACGGUACCACCAGAGGAAGCACCGGCCAACUCCGUGCCAGCAGCCGCGGUAAUACGGAGGGUGCAAGCGUUGUUCGGAAUUACUGGGCGUAAAGGGCGCGUAGGCGGGAUGCCAAGUCAGGGGUGAAAGUCCUGGGCUCAACCUGGGGAUUGCCCUUGAAACUGGCAUUCUUGAGACCGGGAGAGGAUGGCGGAAUUCCCAGUGUAGAGGUGAAAUUCGUAGAUAUUGGGAAGAACACCGGUGGCGAAGGCGGCCAUCUGGACCGGAUCUGACGCUGAGGCGCGAAAGCGUGGGGAGCAAACAGGAUUAGAUACCCUGGUAGUCCACGCCGUAAACGAUGUGUGCUAGCCGUUGGGGCACUUGGUGUUUCAGUGGCGCAGCUAACGCGUUAAGCACACCGCCUGGGGAGUACGGCCGCAAGGUUAAAACUCAAAGGAAUUGACGG